AACGUAGGAGGCGAGCGUUAUCCGGAUUCACUGGGCGUAAAGCGCGUGCAGGUGGUUCGGUAAGUUAGGCGUGAAAUCUCCCGGCUCAACUGGGAGAGGUCGUCUAAUACUACCGGACUUGAGAGCAGAAGAGGAAGAUGGAAUUCCCGGUGUAGUGGUGAAAUGCGUAGAUAUCGGGAGGAACACCAGUGGCGAAGGCGAUCUUCUGGUCUGUUUCUGACACUCAGACGCGACAGCUAGGGUAGUAAACGGGAUUAGAUACCCCAGUAGUCC
RNAcentral lists this ribosomal RNA (273 nucleotides) under uncultured bacterium. RNAcentral describes it as "partial 16S ribosomal RNA". It matches the Rfam family "Bacterial small subunit ribosomal RNA", at positions 524 to 796 of the family's 1533-position model. The record is from RNAcentral.